RNAcentral lists this long non-coding RNA (693 nucleotides) under Prunus dulcis (almond). Its description in RNAcentral is "sRNA ncRNA". Lineage: Eukaryota; Viridiplantae; Streptophyta; Magnoliopsida; Rosales; Rosaceae. The record is from RNAcentral.
CACACACACAGGAUCAUCACAACUAAAACACAACUUAGGUUUCUUUCUUCCUUCUUCGAUUUGAUUUCCUCUCUCUCUGUCUGAUCUGCGAGGCCGAACCUCUCUUUUCCUCUACGUGAAACCUCUCUUUCAGCCAUCCUUGUUCUUCUUCAGCCGUCGCGCAGCCGAAGCUCUCUCAGUCGUCGCGCCGUCGUCACGCAAGCAGGUUCGAUUCUGGCUUUCUUUUUUCUUUUUUUCUUUUUGUUUCUUUUCCCCCUUCGAUUCUCUGUCUGACCAUCUCUAUGUCCUCCAUCAGCAGUUCGUGCAGAUCAUCAUCCAUAUUUCUGGAGUAGGUUGCAGCUUCCAGCAGACGCACUCUUUUUUUUUCUCCCCUUGACGCAGCUGCGCACUCCUUCUCGUCACUUUUCCAUUGAAGGCUCUCUCUCUACCAAAGGUGAAUUUCUCACUCUUCUGUAAAUGCUUAAUCUUGAAUAUUGUUAUUUCCAAUCUCUGUUUGCAUUUUUAUUUACUUUUAUUGAGCGAUUUAUUCUCUGAAAAUUUCAAUCUUUGUUAGCGUUUUUGGCUGGAUUAUUUACUCAACCCAAAACUCAUAAAUUCAGAUUACUGUAUGCCUGUUAUUAUGUUGUUUUUAGAUCUUAAAAAUAAGAUAAGAAAAGUGGAAUUAGGGAAUUAUAUCAAACUUUCAUGACUGUA